AUCUUGCGCAAUGGCCGAAAGGCUGACGCAGCGACGCCGCGUGCGGGAGGAAGCUCUUCGGGGUGUAAACCGCUGUCGGGAGGGACGAAGGUCCAGGGGAGGAAAUGCCUUUGGGAUGACGGUACCUCCAGCGGAAGCACCGGCUAACUCCGUGCCAGCAGCCGCGGUAAUACGGAGGGUGCGAGCGUUGUUCGGAAUUAUUGGGCGUAAAGCGCACGUAGGCGGCUCGGUAAGUCUCACUGUGAAAGCCCGGGGCUCAACCCCGGGAGGCCAGGGGAUACUGUCGAGCUGGAGACAGGCAGAGGCUGGUGGAAUUCCGGGUGUAGCGGUGGAAUGCGUAGAGAUCCGGAGGAACACCGGAGGCGAAGGCGGCCAGCUGGGCCUGGUCUGACGCUGAGGUGCGAAAGCGUGGGGAGCGAACAGG
Molecule: ribosomal RNA, 424 nt
Filed under: uncultured bacterium
Lineage: Bacteria
Description: bacterial SSU rRNA
Rfam family: Bacterial small subunit ribosomal RNA
Source: RNAcentral